ACCGCUCUGAUGGUGGCACAUGCCGAGUCACCCGAGUAAGCUAUUGUUAAGGGCCGUGACCCCAGCCUCCAUCAGCCGUCCGCUCUCAUGAAAGGCUGUCGGUGGUAGUCCACGUGCUUAAGUGCCUGCAUUCCGCAGUGUCACCAAUAUUUCCAUUAGUGUUUCUUUUUUCUUUUUUUUUUUGAGACCGAGCCUCGUUCUGUCACCCAGGCUGGAAUGCAGUGGCUCGAUCUCGGUUAAUGGCAACCUCCGCGUCCCGAGUUAAGCAGUUCUGCCUCAGCCUCCCAAGUAAUUGGGACUACAGGCGCGCGCCACCAUGCUAGGCUUUUAUAUUUUUAGUAGAGACGGGGUUUCACCAUGUUGGCGAGACUGGUCUUGAACUCCUGACCUCAGGUGAUCCACCAGCCGUGGUCUCCCAACAUACUGGGAUUACAAGCCGUGAGCCACCGCGCCCGGCCGCCAUCGGUGGUUCUUAACUGCGGGUGCAGUGCUUCUUUGUAACAUUAAGUGUAUCCUUUACCUGUCGCUAGAUAAUGAAUGGUAUGUUACCUGCAUCAUUGGUUUAAAAAGACGAACCGUUUUUUUAAAGAACACGUUCUUUAAAACCGUGGAACAAUGAAUUAAAAUCUGUACCCGAUCUCUUUAGGUAUGGUGCUGGGUGCAGAUGCAGUGUGGCUCUGGAUAGCACCUUAUGGACAGUUGUGUCCCCAAGGAAGGAUGAGAAUAGCUACUGAAGUCCUAAACAGCAAGCCUAACUCAAGCCAUUGGCACACAGGCAUUAGACAGAAAGCUGGAAGUUGAAAUGGUGGAGUCCAACUUGCCUGGACCAGCUUAAUGGUUCUGCUCCUGGUAACGUUUUUAUCCAUGGAUGACUUGCUUGGGUAAGGACAUGAAGACAGUUCCUGUCAUACCUUUUAAAGGUAUGGAGAGUCGGCUUGACUACACUGUGUGGAGCAACU
RNAcentral lists this long non-coding RNA (959 nucleotides) under Pan troglodytes (chimpanzee). RNAcentral's name for it is "lincRNA". Lineage: Eukaryota; Metazoa; Chordata; Mammalia; Primates; Hominidae. The record is from RNAcentral.